CAACUUAGAAUUAAUCCUACCAAUCAAUCAAACCAUAUUAUCAAUUUUGUAUCCCCAAACAGAAGUCUAAAGGUUUUAGCUCAUAAUUGAAGUAAAUAACAGUAAACAAACAGAGUCUAAUUGUUUAACCAUAAUGAUAAAACAAAAGAUUAAGUGAAAUGAUGAAAUUUGCCUCAAUUCUCCUUCGGGAUUGAGUUCUAGCUUAUGACUUCGUCUUCUAGGGUUUUUCUGACUUCUUGAUCGCAGCUAAACUUUUCUGAAUCGUUCCAGAAUUCUCUUCCAUCGUUCUGUGGAGUUAUCUUUAUAUAUACGAAUCGACUCGUCGAGUCAGGUGGCGACUCGUCGAGUCCAUCUCUCAGUCCCCGUAUUGUGAUAAGUCUCUGGGAUCCCGAGUCUUUAUCUUCUCGAAUCUUCGCUUGGACUCACCGAGUAGUCGACCCUACUCGCCGAGUAGGUGUUAUUUUUAAUGUUUUUCUUCUUUGUUCCAUUCUCGAGCUCUUAACCGCUUCUCCUGCUUCCUUUUGCUUCCGAGCUUCAUUUUUGGACUGAAAAUAUAAUUCAAACACUUUUAAGUACCUUUUGUCCAUAAAAUGCAAUAAUUUAGCUAAUAAAUGAAUAAAAAUCUAUACUUAAUAUGAACUAAUUAUACACAUAUCAAGCAUUCAAUCAUGUUAAUCUUUAGGUUUAAUUCAGUGGUGUUGAAAAAUAGUGUCAAAUGUUAUGUAGCUGAACUAAAAUCAUUUGAACUUAGAGGUGGUAGAAUUCUGCAAAUAAUAAGUCUUAACCACCAAAUUUUUUUUAUUUAUAAGGAUGACCAAAACUGUCAAUAUCACAAAGAUUUCUGACCAAACUCUUAACCAUUAAAAGUUUUCCACUUUUUAUAUAAUUUUAAUAUAUAAAGGAUCAUGCCAAUAUUAUAAAUUAAUGUAGCUAAAAUUUAAAACAUCAAAAUAUAACUUUCCAUUUUUUCAUUCCAAAAUUUAGAUGUAUAUAUAAUUAACAAUUAUACAUUUCGUUAAAAAGAGUAUAUAAAUUUCCAAAAAAUACUUAUUUACAAAUUUAUUAUUAAUUUUUAUUAUAUUUAUUAAUUCAAAACCAUAUACUACACAAAUUAUAGCCUAGUUUUAAAUAAACAAGACAAAAAUGCAAAAAUAAUCCCUUAGUUUUGCGUUUUUUUCAAGGUUUUGGUCCUCACAAAAUUGGAUAAAUGGUCAUUUUGAACAUGUUUCUUUGUGAAUUUGGUUAUCACUAAGUUUGGAAUGUCUAUUUUUACCAUUUUAAAUAUAAUUUUGACAUUUAUUUUAUCAUUUUGAGUAAUUUUUUGGCGGAAUUGAGAGUUGUCGAAGGUAAAAGUCGUUGGAGAAGGAAAGGCAAGCUUAUGUUUGAUAGGUGGAAGAUGGUCUCCGAUGCGAAGUGAGAGAUAACUAAAUUGUUAAUUGUGUCAUAAGAAAUGGACUACAAUAUUAGUUGUUUUACCAUUUUUUAAUAAUAGAAAUUAUAAAACAAUUAAGACAAAAUUGCAAGAAUAGUCUCCGUGGUUAGGUCGAAAUUGUCACUUUGGGCCAAAUAGGUUUGGACUAGCACUCAUGGUUAAAAAGUUUUCAUUAUCUUGCCACUUUGGUCCAAUUUAUUUUAAACUUUUUUGUAAUGACGAUUUUGCCCUUGGUUUUGCUCUUUUAGUUUUAUUUAUUUAUAUAGUUUAAUAUUUAAAAGAAAAACAAAAAAUACCACUAUCUCUCUCUCUCUCUCUCUCUCUCUCCUACAUGUAUUGCUCACCUCUUUUUGCUAGAAUCCUCCAAAACCACCGGUCAUCGCCGCCACACCCAUGACCACCGAUCAACUCCACCACCACCAUUGAUCAACGCGACAACAACACUUGUGAAUACCUCCACUAACACCCUAGCAUCAUAUGAAAGGCGAAUCGACCUACAGAUCUAGACUGAGAAGGCUACAACCACCACUACCAGUCAAAAUGUAUCAAAAGUGUUUUCUGAUUUGAAAACAAAAAAAG
RNAcentral lists this long non-coding RNA (2011 nucleotides) under Lactuca sativa (garden lettuce). Its description in RNAcentral is "long non-coding RNA (LSAT_LNC005873)". Lineage: Eukaryota; Viridiplantae; Streptophyta; Magnoliopsida; Asterales; Asteraceae. The record is from RNAcentral.